GUCAGCAGCCAUAUCACCCUUUAACUCACAACUGGCAACCCAGUGAAGCUAAACAGGUGUGUGCCUGGUGAGUACCUGGAUGGGAGACCUCCUGGGAAAAACUAAGGUUGCUGCUGGAA
This 119-nucleotide ribosomal RNA is filed under the name Lepisosteus oculatus (spotted gar). Lineage: Eukaryota; Metazoa; Chordata; Actinopteri; Semionotiformes; Lepisosteidae. The record is from RNAcentral.